UACGGAGGGUGCGAGCGUUGUCCGGAAUCAUUGGGCGUAAAGGGCGCGUAGGUGGCCCGGUCAGCGUGCGGUGAAAGCUCGGGGCUCAACCCCGAGUCGGCCGUGCGAACUGCUGGGCUCGAGCACUGUAGAGGCAGGCGGAAUUCCGGGUGUAGCGGUGGAAUGCGUAGAGAUCCGGAAGAACACCGGUGGCGAAGGCGGCAUCCUGGACCGGUAUUGACGCUGAGGCGCGAAAGCCAGGGGAGCAAACGGG
This 253-nucleotide ribosomal RNA is filed under the name uncultured bacterium. Its description in RNAcentral is "partial 16S ribosomal RNA". It matches the Rfam family "Bacterial small subunit ribosomal RNA", at positions 524 to 776 of the family's 1533-position model. The record is from RNAcentral.